Molecule: unclassified non-coding RNA, 433 nt
Filed under: soil metagenome
Description: partial contains 5.8S ribosomal RNA, internal transcribed spacer 2, and large subunit ribosomal RNA
Rfam family: 5.8S ribosomal RNA (bases 1-120)
Source: RNAcentral
GAUGAAGAACGUAGCGAAAUGCGAUACGUAAUGUGAAUUGCAGAAUUCAGUGAAUCAUCGAAUCUUUGAACGCAUAUUGCGCUCUCUGGUAUUCCGGAGAGCAUGCUUGUUUGAGUAUCAGUAAACACCUCAACUUCCAUAUCUUUUUUGAAAUGGGAGUUGGACUUGAGUGAUCCCAACGCUUUUCCUCACCGAAAAGUGGCGGGUUACUUGAAAUGCAGGUGCAGCUGGACUUUUCUCUGAGAUAUAAGCAUAUCUAUUUAGUCUGCCUAAAAAACAGAUUAUUACCUUUGCUGCAGCUAACAUAAAGGAGAUUAGUUCUUGUGCUGACUGAUGCAGGAUUCACAAAGACAGGCUUCGGCCGACUUUGUAAACUCGAUCUCAAAUCAAGUAAGACUACCCGCUGAACUUAAGCAUAUCAAUAAGCGGAGGA